Oncorhynchus tshawytscha (Chinook salmon) is the source of this 392-nucleotide long non-coding RNA. The record is from Ensembl. NCBI's taxonomy places the organism in Eukaryota, Metazoa, Chordata, Actinopteri, Salmoniformes, Salmonidae.
GGGUUGGUGAGGGUAGUAGAGAAGGGGUUAGUGAGGGUAGUAGAGAAGGGGGUUGGGAGGGUAGUAGAGAAGGGGUUGGUGAGGGUAGUAGAGAAGGGUUUGGUGAGGGUAGUAGAGAAGGGGUUGGUGAGGGUAGUAGAGAAGGGGGUGGUGAGGGUAGUAGAGAAGGGGUUGGUGAGGGUAGUAGAGAAGGGUUUGGUGAGGGUGGUAGAGAAGGGGUUGGUGAGGGGACUAGUAGAGAAGGGGUUGGUGAGGGUAGUAGAGAAGGGGUUGGUGAGGGACUGAGGGUAAUAGAGAAGGGGUUGGUGAGGGUGGUAGAGAAGGGGUUGGUGAGGGUAGUAGAGAAGGGGUUGGUGAGGGUAGUAGAGAAGGGGUUGGUGAGGGUAGUAGAG